GCCUUCGUGGUGUAAUGGUCAGCACUCGGCUCGUUUUCGAGAGGUCCAGGUUUGAAUCCCUGCGAGGGCA
RNAcentral lists this transfer RNA (70 nucleotides) under Stegodyphus mimosarum. It matches the Rfam family "tRNA". From Rfam's summary of the family: Transfer RNA (tRNA) molecules are approximately 80 nucleotides in length. Lineage: Eukaryota; Metazoa; Arthropoda; Arachnida; Araneae; Eresidae. The record is from Rfam by way of RNAcentral.